AUAAUAUUUAGAACUUGCUUUCCAAAAUCAGCUUUACUCUAUUCCGAUAUCUCCAUAUCUCAACUUGCAUGUUUAUUGUUUUGGAGAUUUUUCGUCUUAAUGAGUGAUUCACCUUUGUUUAGAACCCUCCCAAGUUAGCUACUCCUCUAUUUGAUACUAAAAUGCCAGAGGACCCUAAGAUGGCAUACACAGACCUAGAUAAUCUUCAAAUGGUGUUUUGAACGAAGAGUAGUGUUUGGUCUUGCAUUGUGAUGGCGUCUGAGUGUUGGCUUGGUCUCUGUUGGCUUGCUAUAUAUCUAGAAAGCUCCAUGAUUUGUGCUAAGCUGAAGCGUAUCCAAUUUGGAUUUUCCAGCUCAAAAUAUCAGUAGAUUUGUUGUGGUAGUGCCUUAACAGGAUUUGAGGCUUCUCCAUUCAGGAAAAGACAAGUCCGGUAGAUACAAAAAUUACAAGAUCACAAGUUUGGAUUGAAGGUCACAAGAAAAAAAAAUGGGAAGCCUAGUACUCAAGCUGUUGGAGAGAAAAUAGUGGACCUAAUUCGCCCAAAUGAUGAAAUGUAGUUUCUCGAUGAUGCAAUAGAAAGCACGGUCGCAUGGUUAUUUAUAUUUAUAGUAUUGUGUGAUUGAUAUAUAUUAUACUAUUUUGUUUG
This is a long non-coding RNA of Zingiber officinale, 646 nucleotides long. RefSeq lists it as uncharacterized. NCBI's taxonomy places the organism in Eukaryota, Viridiplantae, Streptophyta, Magnoliopsida, Zingiberales, Zingiberaceae. The transcript has 5 exons. The record is from RefSeq and is a predicted model, not a curated record.